AGGGGGGCGACAUGCCUAUUCCUUAUUCCACCUGGCAGUGCUGACCAGCAUGCAAAAUCCUGAACGCCAGUGCUCUAUUGAUCAUGGCAGAGAAAGAAGCAAUCAAGUGACCUCCUGUGCUGCACAGUGACGUUUUGGUCAAGGGCAGAUGGGGGCUGUAGGCUGCGCGUUGGUGUGUAGCAGGCUAGACCAUAUUGCCUACGUGUGAAGGUUAGAUGGAUGAGGCAUGUGAACACAGUUUGGGGUAAACCUUUUAUAAAUGAAUAAAAUGAACCUUUUAUUUA
RNAcentral lists this long non-coding RNA (284 nucleotides) under Rattus norvegicus (Norway rat). RNAcentral describes it as "long non-coding RNA NONRATT021720". The record is from RNAcentral. Lineage: Eukaryota; Metazoa; Chordata; Mammalia; Rodentia; Muridae.